UCGCCCGCCGCGCGCGGCGGGCGGGGCGGGGGCACGGGGGGCCUACGGGAGGCAGCAGUAGGGAAUAUUGGUCAAUGGGCGCAAGCCUGAACCAGCCAUCCCGCGUGCAGGAAGACGGCCCUAUGGGUUGUAAACUGCUUUUCCAGGGAGAGAAACUCUCGUACGUGUACGGGAUUGACGGUACCCUGGGAAUAAGCAUCGGCUAACUCCGUGCCAGCAGCCGCGGUAAGA
Molecule: ribosomal RNA, 231 nt
Filed under: uncultured bacterium
Lineage: Bacteria
Description: partial 16S ribosomal RNA
Rfam family: Bacterial small subunit ribosomal RNA
Source: RNAcentral